GUAGACCUUACAGUGAAAUACUGAAUACAACAGGUGUAGGUAGACCUUACAGUGAAAUACUGAAUACAACAGGUGUAGUAGACCUUACAGUGAAAUGCUGAAUACAACAGGUGUAGGUAGACCUUACAGUGAAAUGCUGAAUACAACAGGUGUAGGUAGACCUUACAGUGAAAUGCUGAAUACAACAGGUGUAGUAGACCUUACAGUGAAAUGCUGAAUACAACAGGUGUAGGUAGACCUUACAAUGAAAUGCUGAAUACAACAGAUGUAGGUAGACCUUACAGUGAAAUGCUGAAUACAACAGGUGUAGGUAGACCUUACAGUGAAAUGCUGAAUACAACAGAUG
Oncorhynchus tshawytscha (Chinook salmon) is the source of this 346-nucleotide long non-coding RNA. Lineage: Eukaryota; Metazoa; Chordata; Actinopteri; Salmoniformes; Salmonidae. The record is from Ensembl.